Molecule: ribosomal RNA, 468 nt
Filed under: uncultured bacterium
Lineage: Bacteria
Description: bacterial SSU rRNA
Rfam family: Bacterial small subunit ribosomal RNA
Source: RNAcentral
AGAGUUUGAUCAUGGCUCAGAACGUACGCUGGCGGCACGCCUUAUACAUGCAAGUCGAACGAAGUAGCAAUACUUAGUGGCAGACGGGUGAGUAACAUGUAGGUAUCUUCCCUUUGGUGAGGAAUAACACGAGGAAACUUGUGCUAAUACCUCAUAAGUCUUUACGGAGAAAGCUUUAUGCGCCGAAGGAUGAGCCUGCACUUGAUUAGUUUGUUGGUGAGGUAAUGGCUUACCAAGACUUUGAUCUAUAGCUGAUCUGAGAGGAUGAUCAGCCACAUUGGGACUGAGACACGGCCCAAACUCCUACGGGAGGCAGCAGUAGGGAAUAUUGCACAAUGGAGGAAACUCUGAUGCAGCGAUGCCGCGUGAGUGAAGAAGGCCUUUGGGUUGUAAAGCUCUUUCGUCGGGGAAGAAAAUGACUGUACCCGAAUAAGAAGGUCCGGCUAACUUCGUGCCAGCAGCCGCGGU